AUUAAGUUUUUUUUAUGUCGUCCUUUACUUCUUGGCUUUGUGGAAGCGUUGACAAUGUGUACUAUACGCUGUCAUCAUUGCAGAAAUUAAAACACUAUGUUUUUCCGUUGGUGCCCCCCCCUUUUUUUUUGUGGGGAAAAUUUGGUUGAUUAUAUAGGUAAUCACUGAAGCAUGACUGGAGCGCACCCUUUUAAGUUCAGUCAGUGCCCCCCUUAAAUGAAAAGUUCUGGAUCCGCCACUGCUGCUGUCGUAAAUGAUGGUAGCGAGGAUUAACUGUCGCUAAUGCUUUACCAACUCUAGCCUCAGACUCGUUGAUUCCUUUGCUUGAUAAAUGGCCUGUCAUCAUUUUCCGACCGCG
RNAcentral lists this long non-coding RNA (358 nucleotides) under Mytilus galloprovincialis (Mediterranean mussel). The record is from RNAcentral. Lineage: Eukaryota; Metazoa; Mollusca; Bivalvia; Mytilida; Mytilidae.